Physeter macrocephalus (sperm whale) is the source of this 541-nucleotide long non-coding RNA. RefSeq lists it as uncharacterized. NCBI's taxonomy places the organism in Eukaryota, Metazoa, Chordata, Mammalia, Artiodactyla, Physeteridae. The record is from RefSeq and is a predicted model, not a curated record. The transcript is spliced from 3 exons.
GGUGAGAAAGUUCUCUGUAAGGUUUUCUUAAAAGCACUUCCAGGUCUGUCACAUACAGAAUAUGGGAAGAAUAAUCGAAGAUGAGUAACUAAAGAGACCAAGAGUGUCUUAUAAAGAGCCGACUCAUUUUAUCCAGGAGCUGAGACCUGCCCAGCCAGCUCUGCAACAGAAGCAUUCAUACACAGCUGAUCGUUGAACAAGGCGGGGGUAAGGGGAGCCAACCCUCCGGUACAGUCGAAAAUCCACGUGCAAGUUAUAAUGGUCCCUCUUUACACAGUUCCUCCAUAUCUGCAGUUCUGCAUCUGUGGACUCAACCAACCACAACGUACCUGGCUGGGCACCCAAGACUGUGAGUGUACGGAUGCCAACAAGCUGAAGCUGGGUACUGGGGUCCGUCAGGGCCAUGAAUACCAGUGAGCACAGCUGGUCCUUGAAGCCACUCAGAGGCCUGUCAUCUAGGAAGAGACAGAGUCCAGCUGCCAUGGCCCCAUUACCCUGUAGAAUGUUGCUAAGGAAGGAGUCAAGGAGGUCCUCAGCAUCA